This 489-nucleotide ribosomal RNA is filed under the name uncultured Roseateles sp. RNAcentral describes it as "bacterial SSU rRNA". It matches the Rfam family "Bacterial small subunit ribosomal RNA", at positions 948 to 1441 of the family's 1533-position model. The record is from RNAcentral. Lineage: Bacteria; Pseudomonadati; Pseudomonadota; Betaproteobacteria; Burkholderiales; Sphaerotilaceae.
AAUUCGAUGCAACGCGAAAAACCUUACCUACCCUUGACAUGUCUGGAAUCCUGAAGAGAUUUGGGAGUGCUCGAAAGAGAGCCAGAACACAGGUGCUGCAUGGCCGUCGUCAGCUCGUGUCGUGAGAUGUUGGGUUAAGUCCCGCAACGAGCGCAACCCUUGUCAUUAGUUGCUACGAAAGGGCACUCUAAUGAGACUGCCGGUGACAAACCGGAGGAAGGUGGGGAUGACGUCAGGUCAUCAUGGCCCUUAUGGGUAGGGCUACACACGUCAUACAAUGGCCGGGACAGAGGGCUGCCAACCCGCGAGGGGGAGCUAAUCCCAGAAACCCGGUCGUAGUCCGGAUCGUAGUCUGCAACUCGACUGCGUGAAGUCGGAAUCGCUAGUAAUCGCGGAUCAGCUUGCCGCGGUGAAUACGUUCCCGGGUCUUGUACACACCGCCCGUCACACCAUGGGAGCGGGUUCUGCCAGAAGUAGUUAGCCUAACCG